This 263-nucleotide unclassified non-coding RNA is filed under the name plant metagenome. RNAcentral describes it as "partial contains small subunit ribosomal RNA, internal transcribed spacer 1, and 5.8S ribosomal RNA". The record is from RNAcentral.
UAUCCGCAGGUGAACCUGCGGAAGGAUCAUUAUUGUAUAACCGAGGUGCGAGGGCUGUCGCUGACCCGAAAGGUCGUGCACGCCCGAGUGCCCUCACACACAUCCAUCUCACCCCUAUGUGCACCACCGCGUGGGUCCCCCUUUGGCUUGUUCGGAGGGGGGCUUACGUUUUCACACAAACUUUGUAUGCAGUGUAGAAUGUAUUUUUUGUUUUUGCGAUCACGCAAUCAAUACAACUUUCAACAACGGAUCUCUUGGCUCUC